RNAcentral lists this ribosomal RNA (426 nucleotides) under uncultured bacterium. RNAcentral's name for it is "partial 16S ribosomal RNA". It matches the Rfam family "Bacterial small subunit ribosomal RNA", at positions 355 to 774 of the family's 1533-position model. The record is from RNAcentral.
UGGGGAAUAUUGGACAAUGGGCGAAAGCCUGAUCCAGCCAUGCCGCGUGUGUGAAGAAGGUCUUCGGAUUGUAAAGCACUUUAAGUUGGGAGGAAGGGCAGUAAGCUAAUACCUUGCUGUUUUGACGUUACCGACAGAAUAAGCACCGGCUAACUCUGUGCCAGCAGCCGCGGUAAUACAGAGGGUGCAAGCGUUAAUCGGAAUUACUGGGCGUAAGCGCGCGUAGGUGGUUUGUUAAGUUGGAUGUGAAAGCCCCGGGCUCAACCUGGGAACUGCAUCCAAAACUGGCAAGCUAGAGUACGGUAGAGGGUGGUGGAAUUUCCUGUGUAGCGGUGAAAUGCGUAGAUAUAGGAAGGAACACCAGUGGCGAAGGCGACCACCUGGACUGAUACUGACACUGAGGUGCGAAAGCGUGGGGAGCAAACA